Molecule: ribosomal RNA, 779 nt
Filed under: Salmonella enterica
Lineage: Bacteria; Pseudomonadati; Pseudomonadota; Gammaproteobacteria; Enterobacterales; Enterobacteriaceae
Description: partial 23S ribosomal RNA
Rfam family: Bacterial large subunit ribosomal RNA
Source: RNAcentral
GUGGACGCCAGUCUGCGUGGAGCCGACCUUGAAAUACCACCCUUUAAUGUUUGAUGUUCUAACGUGGACCCGUUACCCGGGUUGCGGACAGUGUCUGGUGGGUAGUUUGACUGGGGCGGUCUCCUCCUAAAGAGUAACGGAGGAGCACGAAGGUUGGCUAAUCCUGGUCGGACAUCAGGAGGUUAGUGCAAUGGCAUAAGCCAGCUUGACUGCGAGCGUGACGGCGCGAGCAGGUGCGAAAGCAGGUCAUAGUGAUCCGGUGGUUCUGAAUGGAAGGGCCAUCGCUCAACGGAUAAAAGGUACUCCGGGGAUAACAGGCUGAUACCGCCCAAGAGUUCAUAUCGACGGCGGUGUUUGGCACCUCGAUGUCGGCUCAUCACAUCCUGGGGCUGAAGUAGGUCCCAAGGGUAUGGCUGUUCGCCAUUUAAAGUGGUACGCGAGCUGGGUUUAGAACGUCGUGAGACAGUUCGGUCCCUAUCUGCCGUGGGCGCUGGAGAACUGAGGGGGGCUGCUCCUAGUACGAGAGGACCGGAGUGGACGCAUCACUGGUGUUCGGGUUGUCAUGCCAAUGGCACUGCCCGGUAGCUAAAUGCGGAAGAGAUAAGUGCUGAAAGCAUCUAAGCACGAAACUUGCCCCGAGAUGAGUUCUCCCUGAGACUUUAGGUCUCCUGAAGGAACGUUGAAGACGACGACGUUGAUAGGCCGGGUGUGUAAGCGCAGCGAUGCGUUGAGCUAACCGGUACUAAUGAACCGUGAGGCUUAACCUUACAACGCCGAAG